This 873-nucleotide ribosomal RNA is filed under the name uncultured Pseudomonadales bacterium. RNAcentral describes it as "bacterial SSU rRNA". It matches the Rfam family "Bacterial small subunit ribosomal RNA", at positions 28 to 896 of the family's 1533-position model. Lineage: Bacteria; Pseudomonadati; Pseudomonadota; Gammaproteobacteria; Pseudomonadales. The record is from RNAcentral.
AUUGAACGCUGGCGGCAGGCCUAACACAUGCAAGUCGAGCGGAUGAAGGGGGCUUGCUCCUGGAUUCAGCGGCGGACGGGUGAGUAAUGCCUAGGAAUCUGCCUGGUAGUGGGGGAUAACGUCCGGAAACGGGCGCUAAUACCGCAUACGUCCUGAGGGAGAAAGUGGGGGAUCUUCGGACCUCACGCUAUCAGAUGAGCCUAGGUCGGAUUAGCUAGUUGGUGGGGUAAAGGCCUACCAAGGCGACGAUCCGUAACUGGUCUGAGAGGAUGAUCAGUCACACUGGAACUGAGACACGGUCCAGACUCCUACGGGAGGCAGCAGUGGGGAAUAUUGGACAAUGGGCGAAAGCCUGAUCCAGCCAUGCCGCGUGUGUGAAGAAGGUCUUCGGAUUGUAAAGCACUUUAAGUUGGGAGGAAGGGCAGUAAGUUAAUACCUUGCUGUUUUGACGUUACCAACAGAAUAAGCACCGGCUAACUUCGUGCCAGCAGCCGCGGUAAUACGAAGGGUGCAAGCGUUAAUCGGAAUUACUGGGCGUAAAGCGCGCGUAGGUGGUUCAGCAAGUUGGAUGUGAAAUCCCCGGGCUCAACCUGGGAACUGCAUCCAAAACUACUGAGCUAGAGUACGGUAGAGGGUGGUGGAAUUUCCUGUGUAGCGGUGAAAUGCGUAGAUAUAGGAAGGAACACCAGUGGCGAAGGCGACCACCUGGACUGAUACUGACACUGAGGUGCGAAAGCGUGGGGAGCAAACAGGAUUAGAUACCCUGGUAGUCCACGCCGUAAACGAUGUCGACUAGCCGUUGGGAUCCUUGAGAUCUUAGUGGCGCAGCUAACGCGAUAAGUCGACCGCCUGGGGAGUACGGCCGCAAGGUAA